RNAcentral lists this transfer RNA (93 nucleotides) under Ignavibacteria bacterium. Its description in RNAcentral is "tRNA-Ser". It matches the Rfam family "tRNA". From Rfam's summary of the family: Transfer RNA (tRNA) molecules are approximately 80 nucleotides in length. Their secondary structure includes four short double-helical elements and three loops (D, anti-codon, and T loops). Further hydrogen bonds mediate the characteristic L-shaped molecular structure. tRNAs have two regions of fundamental functional importance: the anti-codon, which is responsible for specific mRNA codon recognition, and the 3' end, to which the tRNAs corresponding amino acid is attached (by aminoacyl-tRNA synthetases). tRNAs cope with the degeneracy of the genetic code in two manners: having more than one tRNA (with a specific anti-codon) for a particular amino acid; and 'wobble' base-pairing, i.e. permitting non-standard base-pairing at the 3rd anti-codon position. Lineage: Bacteria; Pseudomonadati; Ignavibacteriota; Ignavibacteria. The record is from RNAcentral.
GGAGAGGUGGCCGAGUGGCUGAAGGCAGCGGUUUGCUAAACCGCCGUACUGGGUAAACCGGUACCGCGGGUUCGAAUCCCGCCCUCUCCGCAA